GAGGUGGCUUCCGGCCGCCAGGCGAGACUCCGCGGGAAAACUCCCUGCUAGAGAGACUAGGAGAUUUGGGGCUGCGGCCGUUUCCUCCGGAGCACCCACGGGACUGUGUGCUGGGGUCCCUCCACCGGCUGUGUCCUUUAUUCUUCUUUCUCACCCAACGAUUUACCUGAACGGUUAUAAAGUGCACGUUAUUUCCCUAAGGUCCUUCUUACUGAUGUGUUGCUCUUCUUCAUGGCUCGUGAAAACUAUUAGAGUCAUCCAAGGUUUGGAGACAGAAAGGAGCACCGCCAAGUGAGGCAGAGCAGUCUCAGAAACAUAGGAAAAUGGUGGGAAGAGAGAUCAGCAACGUUAACUGGGUGUCAAGAAAACAUACCGAGAUUGAAGCCAUCCACUUCUGCAGGAACACCGAAAAGAAAGCUUACAAUCUGAAGGUGUCCGUUCCUACACUGGUCAGACCACUGUCCUUGGGGCAGCUGGGGUCUUUGGGACCCUCCACCGGGCUCGCCGGUCCGUCGGACUUUUGGCUGAGAUCCGUGUCAGACUCCUCCGAAUAGUCGUCUGUUGGCAUCGAGGGCUGAACCCCUGAGGUGCUGCAUGAACUUGAGGUAACCGUUGAAGAUGAGGAGAGAGGAGGAAAAGAAGGGGGCUUCGCUGCCGAAGCCCGGGAGACCACUUGCGGCCAAGACUUCCUGGAGGCGUGGGGGGAAGCGGAGGAGGGGGCGGCGGCCGACGGGGGAGGGGGGCUGUCGUUUGAGUGAGCGGCAGACUGCGAGGUAGAUGCGGUGCUAGGAUCGGGGAAGCAGGCAGAGUGAGGUAAUAAACUAGGGUGCUCUUUGGCGUUU
This 842-nucleotide long non-coding RNA is filed under the name Homo sapiens (human). RNAcentral's name for it is "ZFHX3 antisense RNA 1, transcript variant 4 (ZFHX3-AS1)". The record is from RNAcentral. Lineage: Eukaryota; Metazoa; Chordata; Mammalia; Primates; Hominidae.